GAAUUCGCCCUUAGAGUUUGAUCCUGGCUCAGGACGAACGCUGGCGGCGUGCUUAACACAUGCAAGUCGAACGGAGGUUAUUUUGAAGCGCAAGUAGAUAAAUAACCUUAGUGGCGGACGGGUGAGUAACGCGUGGAUAACCUGCCUGAAUGACCGGGGCAACACCGGGAAACUGGUGCUAAUACCGGAUACGCUCUUAGAUGCCCAUGCAUAUAAGAGGAAAGGAGCAAUCCGCAUACAGAUGGGUCCGCGUCCCAUUAGCUAGUUGGGGGUGUAAGAGACUCCCAAGGCAACGAUGGGUAGCCGGCCUGAGAGGGUGGACGGCCACACUGGAACUGAGACACGGUCCAGACUCCUACGGGAGGCAGCAGUGGGGAAUCUUCCGCAAUGGGCGCAAGCCUGACGGAGCAACGCCGCGUGAAUGAAGAAGGCCUUCGGGUUGUAAAAUUCUGUCAUCAGGGAAGAAAAAAAUGACGGUACCUGAGGAGGAAGCCCCGGCUAACUACGUGCCAGCAGCCGCGGUAAAACGUAGGGGGCGAGCGUUGUCCGGAAUUACUGGGCGUAAAGGGCGUGUAGGCGGUCAUUUAAGUCAGAGGUGAAAACUACCGGCUUAACCGGUAGCCUGCCUUUGAAACUGGGUGACUUGAGGGCAGGAGAGGGGAGUGGAAUUCCCAGUGUAGCGGUGAAAUGCGUAGAUAUUGGGAGGAACACCAGUGGCGAAGGCGGCUCUCUGGCCUGUUUCUGACGCUGAGGCGCGAAAGCGUGGGUAGCGAACGGGAUAAGAUACCCCGGUAGUCCACGCCGUAAACGAUG
Molecule: ribosomal RNA, 813 nt
Filed under: uncultured bacterium
Lineage: Bacteria
Description: bacterial SSU rRNA
Rfam family: Bacterial small subunit ribosomal RNA
Source: RNAcentral